UACGAUCCAGGGGAGGAAGAAAAGGGGAGCCAAACCCUAGCUACUAGAAAUCAAGCAAAUUGAGUCACAAUUUGUGUGAAAUUCCUAUGCAUGAGCCCUAAAAAUCAAGCAUCUAACCUUGGCUAGUAAAGAGGCAUAAAGGAAGAAGGUACAAGCACCAAGAAACCGGAAGGCGCGCAAGAUCGAGGUAAAGCACCUCUAUAGGCGAUUUGGAGACAUGGAGCGAGCACAUGUUCAAGCCUCAUUAAACUAAGCGCUUCCGCAAGUUUACAUGCAUGCUUUUGGGUCUAUGUUUUUGUUACUUGUUUAACCUUGUUAGAAGUUUUAGAUUUGAAAACUUGUUGUUUUGUUUGGGAUGGUCUAGUGUAAAAAGGGUUUUAUGUGAACAUUGUCUAUUAUGUCAAAACAGGGGUGACGUCCGUUUUACGAACGGGUCAUGCCCAAUUUUUGUAAAUUUUUAUUAUGUGUUAA
Molecule: long non-coding RNA, 471 nt
Organism: Helianthus annuus (common sunflower)
Lineage: Eukaryota; Viridiplantae; Streptophyta; Magnoliopsida; Asterales; Asteraceae
Exons: 3
Source: RefSeq, a predicted model, not a curated record